UACGUAGGGACUAAGCGUUGUUCGGAUUUACUGGGCGUAAAGGGCGCGUAGGCGGCGCGGUAAGUCACUUGUGAAAUCUCUGAGCUUAACUCAGAACGGCCAAGUGAUACUGCAGUGCUAGAGUGUGGAAGGGGCAAUCGGAAUUCUUGGUGUAGCGGUGAAAUGCGUAGAUAUCAAGAGGAACACCUGAGGUGAAGACGGGUUGCUGGGCCAACACUGACGCUGAUGCGCGAAAGCCAGGGGAGCAAACGGG
Molecule: ribosomal RNA, 253 nt
Filed under: uncultured bacterium
Lineage: Bacteria
Description: partial 16S ribosomal RNA
Rfam family: Bacterial small subunit ribosomal RNA
Source: RNAcentral